Molecule: long non-coding RNA, 520 nt
Filed under: Pan troglodytes (chimpanzee)
Lineage: Eukaryota; Metazoa; Chordata; Mammalia; Primates; Hominidae
Description: long non-coding RNA NONPTRT004577
Source: RNAcentral
UGAAGAUGAGAGAGAUCUUUUAACACAGCCCUUCAUCCUGAUCUCUGGGAAGGAGACAAUUGGAUGGCCCUGGCCAUUCUGCUUUCUCUGGUUCCCAUAGCAAGGCCCUGCAGAACUUCUGGAACACAAUUAUGAGGAAAGAAGCUCUCAGCAUUCCAAAGCAGAAGGAACAACUGUCUUGAAUAUGUCGAAAAUUGCUGUCUUUAAGGAGAUGAAGCACCCAGAGGACCACAAUCCUCAGAUUUUAUGAGAAGACCUUCUGCCCUGCCUGCCCUUUUGAGACUUUUAUCUGAAAAGGAACCUGCAAUCCUAGAAGAGAGGUGGAGGCAGGCUUGAUUCAGUUAAGGAAGUUCUUUCUUCUCAGCAAUUACCACGCCAAUUCUGUGGAAAAGCAACAUUUGGAAGACGAGAGAAAUCCACUGUAGGAAGUAUUAGAAAUACCUGCAAUUAGGCUUCAAACAAGCAAAUGAGGCAGGUCUGUUCCCCAGGCCUAACAAGUCUUUGAGGUAUUGUGCACAGA